RNAcentral lists this ribosomal RNA (376 nucleotides) under uncultured eukaryote. Its description in RNAcentral is "partial 18S ribosomal RNA". It matches the Rfam family "Eukaryotic small subunit ribosomal RNA", at positions 592 to 976 of the family's 1831-position model. The record is from RNAcentral.
CAAUAGCGUAUAUUUAAGUUGUUGCAGUUAAAAAGCUCGUAGUUGGAUUUUGGGUCGGGGGCACCGGUCCGCCGUUCCGGUGUGCACUGGUGGCCCCUUCCUUUCUGCCGGGGACGUGCGUCGCACUUAAUUGGGUGGCGUUCGGAGUCGGCGUUGUUACUUUGAAAAAAUUAGAGUGUUCAAAGCAAGCCAUCGCUCUGAAUACAUUAGCAUGGAAUAAUAAGAUAGGACUUUGGUGCUAUUUUGUUGGUUGAGCCUAAAGUAAUGAUUAAUAGGGAUAGUUGGGGGCACCUGUAUUGCGUUGUCAGAGGUGAAAUUCUUGGAUUUACGCAAGACAAACAGCUGCGAAAGCGUCUGCCAAGGAUGUUUUCAUUAA